UUACAGAUGGACCCGCGGCGCAUUAGCUAGUUGCUGAGGUAACGGCUCACCAAGGCAACGAUGCGUAGCCGACCUGAGAGGGUGAUCGGCCACACUGGGAUUGAGACACGGCCCAGACUCCUACGGGAGGGCAGCAGUAGGGAAUCUUCCGCAAUGGACGAAAGUCUGACGGAGCAACGCCGCGUGAGUGAUGAAGGUUUUCGGAUCGUAAAGCUCUGUUGUUAGGGAAGAACAAGUACCGUUCGAAUAGGGCGGUACCUUGACGGUACCUAACCAGAAAGCCACGGCUAACUACGUGCCAGCAGCCGCGGUAAUACGUAGGUGGCAAGCGUUGUCCGGAAUUAUUGGGCGUAAAGGGCUCGCAGGCGGUUUCUUAAGUCUGAUGUGAAAGCCCCCGGCUCAACCGGGGAGGGUCAUUGGAAACUGGGGAACUUGAGUGCAGAAGAGGAGAGUGGAAUUCCACGUGUAGCGGUGAAAUGCGUAGAGAUGUGGAGGAACACCAGUGGCGAAGGCGACUCUCUGGUCUGUAACUGACGCUGAGGAGCGAAAGCGUGGGGAGCGAACAGGAUKARAUACCCUGGUAGUCCACGCCGUAAACGAUGAKUGCUAAGUGUUAGGGGGUUUCCGCCCCUUAGUGCUGCAGCUAACGCAUUAAGCACUCCGCCUGGGGAGUACGGUCGCAAGACUGAAACUCAAAGGAAUUGACGGGGGCCCGCACAAGCGGUGGAGCAUGUGGUUUAAUUCGAAGCAACGCGAAGAACCUUACCAGGUCUUGACAUCCUCUGACAAUCCUAGAGAUAGGACGUCCCCUUCGGGGGCAGAGUGACAGGUGGUGCAUGGUUGUCGUCAGCUCGUGUCGUGAGAUGUUGGGUUAAGUCCCGCAACGAGCGCAACCCUUGAUCUUAGUUGCCAGCAUUCAGUUGGGCACUCUAUUUUUGACUGCCGGUGACAAACCGGAGGAAGGUGGGGAUGAGGUCAAAUCAUCAUGCCCCUUAUGACCUGGGCUACACACGUGCUACAAUGGACAGAACAAAGGGCAGCGAAACCGCGAGGUUAAGCCAAUCCCACAAAUCUGUUCUCAGUUCGGAUCGCAGUCUGCAACUCGACUGCGUGAAGCUGGAAUCGCUAGUAAUCGCGGAUCAG
This 1143-nucleotide ribosomal RNA is filed under the name Bacillus subtilis subsp. subtilis. RNAcentral's name for it is "bacterial SSU rRNA". It matches the Rfam family "Bacterial small subunit ribosomal RNA", at positions 219 to 1352 of the family's 1533-position model. The record is from RNAcentral. Lineage: Bacteria; Bacillati; Bacillota; Bacilli; Caryophanales; Bacillaceae.